AAUGGAUUUUUCCUCGCUAAA
This 21-nucleotide transfer RNA is filed under the name Albinaria puella puella. RNAcentral describes it as "partial tRNA-Met". Lineage: Eukaryota; Metazoa; Mollusca; Gastropoda; Stylommatophora; Clausiliidae. The record is from RNAcentral.